Sitodiplosis mosellana (orange wheat blossom midge) is the source of this 691-nucleotide long non-coding RNA. RefSeq lists it as uncharacterized. The transcript is spliced from 3 exons. NCBI's taxonomy places the organism in Eukaryota, Metazoa, Arthropoda, Insecta, Diptera, Cecidomyiidae. The record is from RefSeq and is a predicted model, not a curated record.
UGGAUGUUUGGCUAACUGUCAAAACAUUAAAAGAAAGAAAAAAUUUGGGAAUUGUCGACUGAUGCUAGGCUUAAAGUGGCAACUGAUUUGUUUAUUCUAUAGAGAUUAUUUUUUUUCACCAAUCAUUUUGAUAUUUUCAUUUGCUCUGGGUCAUUCACUGUGAAGAAAAAUUCGGAAAUGGUGCAUCCUGCUGCUUUAGCGAUCACAUUCGGUGUUGUUCUAGGUAGUGCUAUCUUUGCUUUGUUCUUUUACCAAAAUACAAGAAACCAAGACAAUCGAUGGAGAUACGAGGAAAGUCCGAGAAGAGAUUUACUAGAAUUCAUGCAACAUCAAUUUGAAACUGACAUCUGUUCAAUUUGUUUAGAUCGUUUCGAUGACGACGAUGUAUUUUUAGAAUGUUGCCAUCGUUUUCAUCGGCGAUGCAUUGCAAUGGCGGAUUUCAUGGCAUUUAAUCGAGGAUGAAAUUAAUGAAAAUUACGCUAAAUUAGUUUUUCUGGCUGCUUUUGCAUUCGGCAUUCAUGUUAUCAGUUGGAUAUUCUCCUUUUGGUUUUACUGUAAAUUUCGGUUCGAUAAACUCGAUUCAAUGGUGCUGCAUGAAAUUUAUGUUAGAGAUUUUACUGAGGAUUGUUUUCUGUAUUAAUUUAUAUUGUUGAUAUUUGUUAUGAACCAUGUUAAUAUUACUGUUCUUUUA